AUACGUAGGGGGCGAGCGUUGUCCGGAAUGAUUGGGCGUAAAGGGCGCGUAGGCGGCGCGGUAAGUCUGGAGUGAAAGUCCUGCUUUCAAGGUGGGAAUUGCUUUGGAUACUGCCGCGCUUGAGUGCAGGAGAGGUUAUCGGAAUUCCCGGUGUAGCGGUGAAAUGCGUAGAGAUCGGGAGGAACACCAGUGGCGAAGGCGGGUAACUGGACUGCAACUGACGCUGAGGUACGAAAGUGUGGGGAGCAAACAGGAUUAGAUACCCUGGUAGUCCACACCGUAAACGAUGAGCACUAGGUGUCGGGCUCGCAAGAGUUCGGUGCCGCAGUUAACGCAUUAAGUGCUCCGCCUGGGGAGUACGUACGCAAGUAUGAAACUCAAAGGAAUUGGCGGGG
RNAcentral lists this ribosomal RNA (395 nucleotides) under uncultured bacterium. RNAcentral's name for it is "partial 16S ribosomal RNA". It matches the Rfam family "Bacterial small subunit ribosomal RNA", at positions 523 to 918 of the family's 1533-position model. The record is from RNAcentral.